CACCAAAACGAUAUAGAUUGAUAAACAACACUACAGGUAAGAGGAAAAAUAUGUAUUUUUGAUUUUGGGGUGAACUGUCCCUUUAAAAGAGCCCUAUAUUACAGAUUGCCUGUGGUACCGAUUCUUACUUGAAGGUUAAUUUACUGCAUUUAAUGUGACAGAAUGAUUUGAGUAGCACCUGGCCAAUUCCUCUUAAUUUAGGGUCAAAUACGGAUGAAAAGUUUGGAACAGAAUUCUGGUUAUAAACUUGAAUUUUUAAACUCAUAUUUAUGUUUGUUUUUUUCUUGUGGAGCGACUAUAAAUUGUGUUCGAGCCAUAGAUUGUACAAAAAGAUAGAUGACAUGACAGCUCCCCCAAAGUAAAGUCAAAACAUCCCCAAUGCCCCCUGGUGGCACACUGCAGUACAGGUCACAAACCGUGCCACAAACCCCACCUGUCAGCGGAUGGGACACGUGUCAAACUAAAAAAUCAAAGUACACAUCAACGUGUUUACCAAAAAUGGUAGCUGUCAUUUUAGGUAGUUCUUAUCAUGCUGAUGUAAUUCCAAGUGUUUGUUUAUCUGGUCAGUUUGGUUAUAACUACUUAUUUGAUGCUAUUAAAAGGUGGUUUGACGACAUGGCUGACAGCUGUGUGUGACAAUCGGUGUGCUUGUGAUUAAUGGUGUUGCUCGGAAUUGGUUGGAUGGGUGUAUGGGUGGGAACACGAUACCGCAGAGAUCACUACUGCUCAGAUUCUGGCUCCAAAUGACAUCACCAGCAUAAAUGGCAAUGGCUGAAUCCAGGAUAUUUUGGCUUCAUUGUCGUACAGUGGGAAGAAGUUGAGACCCAGAUAGCACACAUACAUCUGGCCGACGCCGGCCUGAGGACAACACAUCGGUCCUGAAUUUAUAACGUCUGACAAGCGUCGGCCGCAUGGGCGGAUAUCUUUAAAUUUAAUACUCUUUUGUCCCAGCUCAUCAAACGUCUCUGUUACGUCGGCUUUGGGUCGGCCCAGUACCGUAGAAUGUCUGCAGUGUUUGUUUGGAACUGAGCUCGCAGGACACAGCAUCUCAUCACAGUUGGUUUCAGUUGACGUUAUCUGCUCAUCUGGUUAUCGUGAGCGCUCCUUUUGGGUUAAAGUGGAAGUGCCCGGAGCUGCCACCCGUGGUCCCGCGGCCCCCCGGCCUGACCUCCGGGGCCCUGGACGUGUGCUCAAGUGUCUGGGAGAGGAGCGGAGAGGAGCACGGAGGUCAGGCGGGGCGGGCCGACACUGUGUAUCCCAGAACGGGUGCUGAAGUGUCGGUGAGACCAGCAGAGAGGAGCGCGGAGGUGAAAUAGUGAAGUUUAAGGAUGCCUUCAGUAUGUUGUUAAUGUGAUUUUAUGGGCAAUUUAUCAGUCGAGGUCUCCUCCUCUGCAAAGCAAACUGACCCGGUGGCUACAGGUAAUAGCGCAGUUUUGAAGCCACUGUUUUUCCGAGAUGAAGGACUGAUUGUUGAGCUGCUGUUAACAGUUAACGGAGUUAACGGAUCCCGUUAUUUAACCGUUUCAACACUAAAUUAAGCAGAGUGACGGACACAAAGCCUUCAAUCUGGCUAAAAGACAGCUGAAAUGCUAAAAAAAAAAAAAAGUGGUGAAGUUGGGAUUUGUUUCUUGAAGUUAUGUGCUCAUCAUCUUUUCUGUGUCUUGCAGGCUGCCAGGAGAAGCGGACUGGCCGUCAGAUAUUGUUUGUGGAAAUUUGAAAAUAAAGUUUGUCAAAUUGA
Long non-coding RNA from Epinephelus moara (kelp grouper), 1738 nucleotides. RefSeq lists it as uncharacterized. NCBI's taxonomy places the organism in Eukaryota, Metazoa, Chordata, Actinopteri, Perciformes, Serranidae. The transcript has 2 exons. The record is from RefSeq and is a predicted model, not a curated record.